Molecule: long non-coding RNA, 342 nt
Filed under: Malus domestica (apple)
Lineage: Eukaryota; Viridiplantae; Streptophyta; Magnoliopsida; Rosales; Rosaceae
Description: long non-coding RNA (MDOM_LNC013489)
Source: RNAcentral
UUUGGGCUAAUUAGGCCUUUGUGAAUCAUUAUUCAUUAAGUUGUCAUACAACUUAAGUCAAUGGGCUUGACAUUCGAAGCCCAUUGGGCCUUAAUGUCCAAAACUAUCCCGAGGUCUUUAACGAACUUAUUCGUUUGAUUAAUUAACAUAUUAAUUAAUCCUUGCAAUAAAUAAAUGAUUAAACCAUUUAAUCAUUCUUACUCAUCUCCAUUGUUUCUUCAAUCUCCACCUUACACGGUGUGCGAUCCAUUAGGUUCCUUUUAGCGAGGCAAUGGGCGAUUAAAACCAUUUUAUAUCGAUUGUGAAUUGAAACUUACUUUCAAUUCUCCCUUUAGUGAUUAC